GGGUGAGUAAUACUUAGGAAUCUGCCUAUUAGUGGGGGACAACAUCUCGAAAGGGAUGCUAAUACCGCAUACGUCCUACGGGAGAAAGCAGGGGAUCACUUGUGACCUUGCGCUAAUAGAUGAGCCUAAGUCGGAUUAGCUAGUUGGUGGGGUAAAGGCCUACCAAGGCGACGAUCUGUAGCGGGUCUGAGAGGAUGAUCCGCCACACUGGGACUGAGACACGGCCCAGACUCCUACGGGAGGCAGCAGUGGGGAAUAUUGGACAAUGGGGGGAACCCUGAUCCAGCCAUGCCGCGUGUGUGAAGAAGGCCUUAUGGUUGUAAAGCACUUUAAGCGAGGAGGAGGCUUACCUAGUUAAUACCUAGGAUAAGUGGACGUUACUCGCAGAAUAAGCACCGGCUAACUCUGUGCCAGCAGCCGCGGUAAUACAGAGGGUGCAAGCGUUAAUCGGAUUUACUGGGCGUAAAGCGCGCGUAGGCGGCUAAUUAAGUCAAAUGUGAAAUCCCCGAGCUUAACUUGGGAAUUGCAUUCGAUACUGGUUGGCUAGAGUGUGGGAGAGGAUGGUAGAAUUUCCAGGUGUAGCGGUGAAAUGCGUAGAGAUCUGGAGGAAUACCGAUGGCGAAGGCAGCCAUCUGGCCUAACACUGACGCUGAGGUGCGAAAGCAUGGGGAGCAAACAGGAUUAGAUACCCUGGUAGUCCAUGCCGUAAACGAUGUCUACUAGCCGUUGGGGCCUUUGAGGCUUUAGUGGCGCAGCUAACGCGAUAAGUAGACCGCCUGGGGAGUACGGUCGCAAGACUAAAACUCAAAUGAAUUGACGGGGGCCCGCACAAGCGGUGGAGCAUGUGGUUUAAUUCGAUGCAACGCGAAGAACCUUACCUGGCCUUGACAUAGUAGAAACUUUCCAGAGAUGGAUUGGUGCCUUCGGGAAUCUACAUACAGGUGCUGCAUGGCUGUCGUCAGCUCGUGUCGUGAGAUGUUGGGUUAAGUCCCGCAACGAGCGCAACCCUUUUCCUUACUUGCCAGCAUUUCGGAUGGGAACUUUAAGGAUACUGCCAGUGACAAACUGGAGGAAGGCGGGGACGACGUCAAGUCAUCAUGGCCCUUACGGCCAGGGCUACACACGUGCUACAAUGGUCGGUACAAAGGGUUGCUACCUAGCGAUAGGAUGCUAAUCUCAAAAAGCCGAUCGUAGUCCGGAUUGGAGUCUGCAACUCGACUCCAUGAAGUCGGAAUCGCUAGUAAUCGCGGAUCAGAAUGCCGCGGUGAUUUCGUUCCCGGGCCUUAUUUUCUCCGCCCG
Molecule: ribosomal RNA, 1299 nt
Filed under: bacterium E1-133
Lineage: Bacteria
Description: bacterial SSU rRNA
Rfam family: Bacterial small subunit ribosomal RNA
Source: RNAcentral